GGCGUUGUGGCUCAGUGGCAGAGCACUUGCCUUGUACGUAUGAGGUACUGGGUUUGAUCCUCAGCAUCACAU
This 72-nucleotide transfer RNA is filed under the name Ictidomys tridecemlineatus (thirteen-lined ground squirrel). RNAcentral describes it as "Spermophilus tridecemlineatus (thirteen-lined ground squirrel) tRNA". It matches the Rfam family "tRNA". Rfam says of the family: Transfer RNA (tRNA) molecules are approximately 80 nucleotides in length. Their secondary structure includes four short double-helical elements and three loops (D, anti-codon, and T loops). Lineage: Eukaryota; Metazoa; Chordata; Mammalia; Rodentia; Sciuridae. The record is from Rfam by way of RNAcentral.